GACAGAAGACCAUGAAUCUUCUAUUCUUAAUGUGUCUCCUGCUCUACGGCCCCAUACAAACAGCUCAGACCGAGUCAACAACCAAAGGAACUGCACCAACAUCUAUAUCUAGCACAUCUACAUCUACAGAGUCAACAACCAAAGGAACUACACCAAUAUCGACAUCUAGCACAUCUACAUCUACAUCUACCCAACAACCAAGU
Long non-coding RNA from Colossoma macropomum (tambaqui), 203 nucleotides. RefSeq lists it as uncharacterized. The transcript is spliced from 3 exons. The record is from RefSeq and is a predicted model, not a curated record. Lineage: Eukaryota; Metazoa; Chordata; Actinopteri; Characiformes; Serrasalmidae.